GAUCAUGGCUCAGAUUGAACGCUGGCGGCAUGCUUUACACAUGCAAGUCGAACGGCAGCACAGGGAGCUUGCUCCCGGGUGGCGAGUGGCGCACGGGUGAGUAAUACAUCGGAACGUGUCCUGUUGUGGGGGAUAACUGCUCGAAAGGGUGGCUAAUACCGCAUGAGACCUGAGGGUGAAAGCGGGGGAUCGCAAGACCUCGCGCAAUUGGAGCGGCCGAUGCCCGAUUAG
Molecule: ribosomal RNA, 231 nt
Filed under: uncultured bacterium
Lineage: Bacteria
Description: partial 16S ribosomal RNA
Rfam family: Bacterial small subunit ribosomal RNA
Source: RNAcentral